AGAACGAACGCUGGCGGCAUGCCUAAUACAUGCAAGUCGAACGAACACUUCGGUGUUAGUGGCGCACGGGUGCGUAACGCGUGGGAAUCUGCCCUUGGGUUCGGAAUAACAGUUGGAAACGACUGCUAAUACCGGAUGAUAUCGAAAGAUCAAAGAUUUAUCGCCCAGGGAUGAGCCCGCGUAGGAUUAGCUAGUUGGUGAGGUAAAGGCUCACCAAGGCGACGAUCCUUAGCUGGUCUGAGAGGAUGAUCAGCCACACUGGGACUGAGACACGGCCCAGACUCCUACGGGAGGCAGCAGUAGGGAAUAUGGACAAUGGGCGCAAGCCUGAUCCAGCAAUGCCGCGUGAGUGAUGAAGGCCUUAGGGUUGUAAAGCUCUUUACCCGAGUAUGAAUAAUGAACAGUAUCGGGAAGAAGUAACGCCCCGGACUAACUCCGU
RNAcentral lists this ribosomal RNA (439 nucleotides) under uncultured soil bacterium. Its description in RNAcentral is "bacterial SSU rRNA". It matches the Rfam family "Bacterial small subunit ribosomal RNA", at positions 26 to 506 of the family's 1533-position model. The record is from RNAcentral.